GGACUUAAGACUUCUUAAUGCGGCGAAUUUCGAAUCCGGGCCUCGAGUUGCCGGGGCGAACUGGAUUCUUCUCUUGCAAAUGGAUUGGAUACUCGUCAGCUCGUGACGGGGAUUCACUGGACUUAGUACAAUAAUGUGUCGGUGUUAUGAGCACUCCUUCGCCGAGGCGAUUGAAGACGCUCCUCUGCUCGGUGUCCGUUCUUUGA
This 206-nucleotide long non-coding RNA is filed under the name Phoenix dactylifera (date palm). RNAcentral describes it as "long non-coding RNA (PDAC_LNC011699)". Lineage: Eukaryota; Viridiplantae; Streptophyta; Magnoliopsida; Arecales; Arecaceae. The record is from RNAcentral.